UACCAUGGUGGUAACGGGUAACGGGGUGUUAGGGCACGACACCGGAGAGGGAGCCUGAAAAACGGCUACCACAUCCAAGGAUGGCAGCAGGCGCGCAAAUUACCCAAUCCCGACACGGGGAGGUAGUGACGAUAAAUAACAAUACGGGGUUCUUUAGGAUCUCGUAAUUGGAAUGAGUACAAUUUAAAUCUCUUAACGAGGAACAAUUGGAGGGCAAGUCUGGUGCCAGCAGCCGCGGUAAUUCCAGCUCCAAUAGCGUAUAUUAAAGUUGUUGCAGUUAAAAAGCUCGUAGUUGAAUUUCGGGGUCAGUAGGUCGGUCGUGCCACUGGUAUGAACUGGUUUUACUGAUUCCUCCCUCUUGAAGAACUGUAAUGCCAUUAAUUUGGUGUUGCAGGGAAUCAGGACUGUUACUUUGAAAAAAUUAGAGUGUUUAAAGCAGGCUUUAGCUUGAAUACAUUAGCAUGGAAUAAUGAAAUAGGACGUUUGAUCCUAUUUUGUUGGUUUCUAGGAUUGACGUAAUGAUUAAUAGGGAUAGUUAGGGGCAUUAGUAUUCAAUUGUCAGAGGUGAAAUUCUUGUAUUUAUUGAAGACUAACUACUGCGAAAGCAUUUGCCAAGGAUGUUUUCAUUAAUCAAGAACGAAAGUUAGGGGAUCGAAGACGAUCAGAUACCGUCGUAGUCUUAACCAUAAACUAUGCCGACUAGGGAUCGGAUGAUGUUAAUUUUUUAAUGACUCAUUCGGCGCCUUACGGGAAACCAAAGUGUUU
Molecule: ribosomal RNA, 765 nt
Filed under: uncultured Glomus
Lineage: Eukaryota; Fungi; Glomeromycota; Glomeromycetes; Glomerales; Glomeraceae
Description: SSU rRNA
Rfam family: Eukaryotic small subunit ribosomal RNA
Source: RNAcentral